RNAcentral lists this ribosomal RNA (431 nucleotides) under uncultured bacterium. Its description in RNAcentral is "bacterial SSU rRNA". It matches the Rfam family "Bacterial small subunit ribosomal RNA", at positions 917 to 1349 of the family's 1533-position model. The record is from RNAcentral.
GGGCCCGCACAAGCGGUGGAGUAUGUGGUUUAAUUCGAUGCAACGCGAAGAACCUUACCAGGGUUUGACAUCCUGCGAAUCUCUUGGAAACAGGAGAGUGCCUUCGGGAACGCAGUGACAGGUGGUGCAUGGCUGUCGUCAGCUCGUGUCGUGAGAUGUUGGGUUAAGUCCCGCAACGAGCGCAACCCACGUCGUUAGUUGCCAGCAUUUAGUUGGGCACUCUAGCGAGACCGCCGGUGAUAAACCGGAGGAAGGUGUGGAUGACGUCAAGUCAUCAUGCCCCUUACAUCCUGGGCUACACACGUACUACAAUGCUACGGACAAAGGGCAGCAAACUCGCGAGGACAAGCAAAUCUCAUAAACCGUGGCUCAGUUCAGAUCGUAGGCUGCAACUCGCCUACGUGAAGGAGGAAUCGCUAGUAAUCGCAGGU